CCGGCACGGGUGAGUAACACGUAUCCAACCUGCCGUCUACUCUUGGACAGCCUUCUGAAAGGAAAGGAUUAAUACAAGAUGGCAUCAUGAGUUCACAUGUUCACAUGAUUAAAGGUAUUCCGGUAGACGAUGGGGAUGCGUUCCAUUAGAUAGUAGGCGGGGUAACGGCCCACCUAGUCUUCGAUGGAUAGGGGUUCUGAGAGGAAGGUCCCCCACAUUGGAACUGAGACACGGUCCAA
RNAcentral lists this ribosomal RNA (239 nucleotides) under uncultured bacterium. RNAcentral's name for it is "partial 16S ribosomal RNA". It matches the Rfam family "Bacterial small subunit ribosomal RNA", at positions 100 to 334 of the family's 1533-position model. The record is from RNAcentral.